UAAAGAACGUAUGAUGUAUCAGAGUCUUGGGUCCUUGUGUAGAUGCUUUGAGACUUCAAGGAUCCCUGACUUGAUCAUUGUGGGUUCUCCC
Molecule: microRNA precursor, 91 nt
Organism: Monodelphis domestica (gray short-tailed opossum)
Lineage: Eukaryota; Metazoa; Chordata; Mammalia; Didelphimorphia; Didelphidae
Source: Ensembl